RNAcentral lists this ribosomal RNA (533 nucleotides) under uncultured bacterium. Its description in RNAcentral is "bacterial SSU rRNA". It matches the Rfam family "Bacterial small subunit ribosomal RNA", at positions 777 to 1308 of the family's 1533-position model. The record is from RNAcentral.
AAUAGAUACCCGGGUAGUCCACGCCGUAAACGAUGAGCACUAGUUAUUGGAGGUAUUGACUCCUCCAGUGACGUAGCUAACGCAUUAAGUGCUCCGCCUGGGGAGUACGGUCGCAAGACUAAAACUCAAACAAAUUGACGGGGGCCCGCACAAGCGGUGGAUUAUGUGGUUUAAUUCGAAGCAACGCGCAGAACCUUACCUAGGCUUGAACUCCUACGAACCUGUUGUAAUGGACGGGGUGCCCGCAAGGGAAUGUAGUGAGAGGUGCUGCAUGGCUGUCGUCAGCUCGUGUUGUGAAAUGUUGGGUUAAGUCUCGCAACGAGCGCAACCCCUAUCGUCUGUUGCCAGCAUUUAGUUGGGCACUCUGACGAGACUGCCUGGGUUAACCAGGAGGAAGGUGGGGAUGACGUCAAGUCCUCAUGGCCCUUAUGUCUAGGGCUACACACGUAAUACAAUGGCGCGUACAAUGGGAAGCGAACUAGUGAUAGGGAGCAAAUCUCAAAAAGCACGCCUCAGUUCGGAUUGGAGUCUGA